GACGAACGCUGGCGGCGUGCUUAACACAUGCAAGUCGAACGGAAAGGCCUGCUUUCCCUUGUGGAUUGCGGGUACUCGAGUGGCGAACGGGUGAGUAACACGUGAGUGAUCUGCCCCCAACUUGGGUAUAAGCCUGGGAAACUGGGUCUAAUUCCCGAUAGGACUGCAGGGUGGUGCCUGUGGUGGAAAACGAUUUUCUAGUGGUUGGGGAUGAGCUCGCGGCCUAUCAGCUUGUUGGUGGGGUAAUGGCCUACCAAGGCGGCGAGGGGGAGCCGGCCUGGGGGUGGGGGCGGCCAUAUUGAGGCUGAGACCCGGCCCCGACGCAUAGGGGGGGCGGGGGGGGGGAAUGGUGACCAGGGGGCGGGAGCCUGAAGCGGGGGCGCCGGGUGGGGGAUGCCGCCCUUGGGGUUGUAAACUCCUUGCGACCGGGAGGAGCCCCCGUGGUGGGAGGGGUGGUGAGGGGGGUGUAAGAAGAAGCCCCGGCUAACUACGUG
This 494-nucleotide ribosomal RNA is filed under the name uncultured bacterium. RNAcentral's name for it is "partial 16S ribosomal RNA". It matches the Rfam family "Bacterial small subunit ribosomal RNA", at positions 28 to 507 of the family's 1533-position model. The record is from RNAcentral.